RNAcentral lists this ribosomal RNA (748 nucleotides) under uncultured Bacillota bacterium. Its description in RNAcentral is "bacterial SSU rRNA". It matches the Rfam family "Bacterial small subunit ribosomal RNA", at positions 68 to 795 of the family's 1533-position model. Lineage: Bacteria; Bacillati; Bacillota. The record is from RNAcentral.
GCGAAGUCCCGCAAGGGAUCAGUAGAGUGGCAAACGGGUGAGUAACACGUGGGUGACCUGCCUUCGAGUGGGGGAUAACAUCCCGAAAGGGAUGCUAAUACCGCAUGACAUCCUGCUGUUGAAGCGGCGGAGAUCAAGGCUGGGGAUCGCAAGACCUGGCGCUUGAAGAGGGGCCCGCGCCCGAUUAGCUAGUUGGUGGGGUAAUGGCUCACCAAGGCAACGAUCGGUAGCCGGCCUGAGAGGGCGGACGGCCACACUGGGACUGAGACACGGCCCAGACUCCUACGGGAGGCAGCAGUAGGGAAUUGUUCGCAAUGGGCGCAAGCCUGACGACGCAACGCCGCGUGGAGGAUGAAGAUCUUCGGGUCGUAAACUCCUUUCGAUUGGGACGAACUCCCUGGGGGUGAACAACCUUCGGGGUUGACGGUACCGAGAGAAGAAGCCCCGGCUAACUCCGUGCCAGCAGCCGCGGUAAUACGGGGGGGGCAAGCGUUGUUCGGAAUUACUGGGCGUAAAGGGCUCGUAGGCGGCCGACUAAGUCAGACGUGAAAUCCCUCGGCUUAACCGGGGAACUGCGUCUGAUACUGGACGGCUUGAGUUCGGGAGAGGGGAUGCGGAAUUCCAGGUGUAGCGGUGAAAUGCGUAGAUAUCUGGAGGAACACCGGUGGCGAAAGCGGCAUCCUGGACCGACACUGACGCUGAUGAGCGAAAGCCAGGGGAGCAAACGGGAUUAGAUACCCCGGUAGUC